RNAcentral lists this long non-coding RNA (233 nucleotides) under Eucalyptus grandis. Its description in RNAcentral is "long non-coding RNA (EGRA_LNC006575)". The record is from RNAcentral. Lineage: Eukaryota; Viridiplantae; Streptophyta; Magnoliopsida; Myrtales; Myrtaceae.
UCCUUCAGUUGAUCCACCUCUUCACCUUUAGCAUUGGCUUGAAUUUGAAGAGCAAGAGCUUGGAUCUGAUCAGAUAAUGAAACGAAAGAAGCUUGUCCUGCAUUCUUCAAGUUCUGAACUUCGCUUUCCAAAGCAUAUAUCUGACCCCGCAAUUCCAAGAGAACAUCAAUGAUUCUGCGAAAAUCUGCUGAGUUAUCAGUUUGCGUACUGGCUUCGGCACGAUCUGAUGGAGU